ACAGCUUGAUUAUAGCAUUUAUGUUAAUAAAUAGUAUUUGUAUAUAUUUGUUCAUGCACUGACUUGUUGACUGACUUUGACAGAGUAUACAGUAUGACAGUACUUUGAUUUUCUAUUCACUUUGGUAUUUACAUCCUGGGUUUUCUAUUUCUUUAUUCCGAUUGGUUACUCUGUGAACUCCUUUGAUAUUGAGGCACUCUCUUUUCAAAUUCUACACAGAGAACACUAUACUUGAUUGUGAUUGAUAUAUUCUAUUUAUUCUUAUUCUGGAAACCAUUCUUUAUAUUCAGAUUCCAGUAUGUGAAGUAUAGUAUAGAGUACAGUAACUUUAUAGAGGAGCACUGCUCAGCCCUUGUAUUAUAUACACGGGUGUUUAUUCAGGAUUACUAUAAUAAACCAAUAGAACCCAACUCAAGUGUUUAUUACGCCCAACUUGAUGAGUCUACAUAA
Mytilus trossulus (common blue mussel) is the source of this 450-nucleotide long non-coding RNA. RefSeq lists it as uncharacterized. The record is from RefSeq and is a predicted model, not a curated record. NCBI's taxonomy places the organism in Eukaryota, Metazoa, Mollusca, Bivalvia, Mytilida, Mytilidae. The transcript is spliced from 3 exons.